This 399-nucleotide long non-coding RNA is filed under the name Linum usitatissimum (flax). RNAcentral's name for it is "long non-coding RNA (LUSI_LNC001449)". Lineage: Eukaryota; Viridiplantae; Streptophyta; Magnoliopsida; Malpighiales; Linaceae. The record is from RNAcentral.
GUGCAAAUGGAGAACAUCCUGUAGAGCCCCUGAGUUACAGAACACAAAAUAGUUUUAACUUUUAACAUAACCAGAACAAUUCUCAAUGGUGAUCUCAUAAUGCAGCAAAUACUACAAUAUGUAAAACUUUAAUAGUUCAGAGAGAAAUGAACGCAUGUGGGAGACCAAAAUCCCAAUUCAUAAUAACAACUAAUUUAUCAAUUUAACCACAUAGAUAAUAGGUUUACAGCCAUGUAAACUGAGCUUCACAUGUGACAUUAGCUUCUAACAUAAAGCACAUUGGCGUUAUCUAGUCUACAGAUGUAUUUGUUACCAGUAAAACACUAGCUCUAUUAAUGGAUGAUUUUAUAAAAUCGCAAUGUGAUUUUAUUAUUUUAACCUUGUGCACAUAUUAUUUUG